Long non-coding RNA from Solanum tuberosum (potato), 212 nucleotides. RefSeq lists it as uncharacterized. The transcript has 3 exons. Lineage: Eukaryota; Viridiplantae; Streptophyta; Magnoliopsida; Solanales; Solanaceae. The record is from RefSeq and is a predicted model, not a curated record.
AUUCCCAAAGAAACAACAUGGCUCAAAGCUCUUGUAACAAUGGCGGAACUGAUCAGGUUUUGGUGGGGGAGAGAACAAAUGUUAGAACAUUUAUAUUAAAUAGGCCUAACCAGUUGAAUGCACUUUCUUAUUAAAUGUUAUCUCAACUGUUGGAACUUCUUCAUGCCAGUGAAACAAAUUCAAAGGUGAAGAUUAUAAUAUUGAAGGUAGGA